RNAcentral lists this ribosomal RNA (405 nucleotides) under Potamon fluviatile. RNAcentral's name for it is "partial 16S large subunit ribosomal RNA". It matches the Rfam family "Archaeal large subunit ribosomal RNA", at positions 1992 to 2666 of the family's 2987-position model. The record is from RNAcentral. Lineage: Eukaryota; Metazoa; Arthropoda; Malacostraca; Decapoda; Potamidae.
AAGUAUUUAAGGGCCGCGGUAUUUUAACCGUGCAAAGGUAGCAUAAUCACUAGGUUUUUAAUUAGAAUCUUGUAUGAAUGGUUCGACAAAAGAAUUACUGUCUUUAUAUUAAUUUUGAAUUUAACUUUUAAGUGAAAAGGCUUAAAUAUAUUAAAGGGACGAUAAGACCCUAUAAAACGUUGUGUUGGGGAGACAAAGGUAAAAUGUUUAACUGCUUUACAUUAAAACAUAUAUUUAUGAAAAGAUCCUUUAUAGAGAUUAAAAGAUUAAGUUACUUUAGGGAUAACAGCGUAAUUCUUUUUGAGAGUCCCUAUCGAAAAAAGAGUUUGUGACCUCGAUGUUGAAUUAAAAUAUCUUUAUAGUGCAGAGGCUAUAAGAGAAGGUCUGUUCGACCUUUAAAUUUUU